This is a long non-coding RNA of Poecilia latipinna (sailfin molly), 588 nucleotides long. RefSeq lists it as uncharacterized. The record is from RefSeq and is a predicted model, not a curated record. The transcript has 3 exons. Lineage: Eukaryota; Metazoa; Chordata; Actinopteri; Cyprinodontiformes; Poeciliidae.
AUUCUUUGAGAGGGUCCAGCCAACAUUCCAGACAGGACAGUGUUGUCCAUCUUCUUCAUCUUCAGCCUCCAAUGAGGCAGCCAAGACUUUGGUUCAUUCAACGUCGCUUCAUUGGGAUUAACCCAGAAAGGGGCACAAAAGCCGGUCAUGGGAAGAUGGUAUCCAAAAAGACAGGAAAGACCAUUCAAAAGAAAAAGUGACGGUCAAUGUUCAGGUUUCCACCCUCAUCAAAAACCUGAUGGACUUUGAGUGGCAUCUCAUUCAGUAAGUGCCACUUGGACUCUUGAAAACCAUUAAUAGUUCACAUUUUAAAACCCUGUUAGAAUUCCACAUUAUUUCAGCCAUGUUGAAUUUUAGGUUUUGGAAGUAAUUUUUCUUUGAUUUGUUUAGUGAUAACCAAAGCAUGGAUAUUUCUUUAAGAACUGUGUUUUUAUGUUCAUAAGAUUGUAGAAAUUAAUGAGUUAAACCCAGUUUAUGUCACUGUAAACUGAAAGUCUUCAAUUUUUAUUCCAGUGUUGGUGAAACUAUAUAUUGACUUUGAAGGCCUAUUUUAUACCAGUUCUCUGAGGAAUGGUUAUGUGUCACUCA